GGGAGGUAGUGACAAGAAAUAACAAUACGGGGCUUGAAGUCUUGUAAUUGGAAUGAUGGGAAUUUAAACCCCUUCCAGAGUAUCAAUUGGAGGGCAAGUCUGGUGCCAGCAGCCGCGGUAAUUCCAGCUCCAAUAGCGUAUAUUAAACUUGUUGCAGUUAAAAAGCUCGUAGUUGAAUUUCUGCUGCAUCGUGGUUCUUCGCUAUGUCGAGUGAUCUUCGUUGUGGCUUAGUUGGGGCAUGUUUUCAUGACUCGACGUUUACUUUGAGAAAAUUAGAGUGCUUCAAGCAGGCUUUUGCCUUGAAUACUUUAGCAUGGAAUAAUGGAGUAGGACUUUGGUUCUAUUUUGUUGGUUUUAGGAGCCGGAGUAAUGGUUAAUAGGAACAGUUGG
This 390-nucleotide ribosomal RNA is filed under the name Theileria equi. RNAcentral describes it as "SSU rRNA". It matches the Rfam family "Eukaryotic small subunit ribosomal RNA", at positions 459 to 885 of the family's 1831-position model. The record is from RNAcentral. Lineage: Eukaryota; Apicomplexa; Aconoidasida; Piroplasmida; Theileriidae.